UUAUGUCUGGUUAUGGAUACAAUAUUGCUACAGAAAUGGAUGCAAAGGUAGGUUUAAGGCAAGGCGCACAUUGAGACGCAGGGCAGCAGUGACAGAGCAGGGCAGACGCAGGGCAGGGCAGGGCAGGGCAGCACAGGCGUGGUGCGCACAUUGAGAAGCAGGCUGUCGUCCUGUGCGGUAGUGUUGAUCAUGGCUGUUGCCAAAAAUUACUUUGGAAACCUUAGUUCCGAUUCCGACUCAGAAAACGAGUUCGAGAAAGUAAUGUUAUUAUAUGACAUUUGUAGAGCAAAGAGGUCAGUGUGGAGGAGUGAAUACAUGGAGAAGAGGAAAACACAUGGAGAAUUUGCUUUAACUUCUGAGCUGUCUGAUGCAAGAUACAAGAACUAUUUCAGAUUAAGCCGAGAUCAAUUUGAAGAUAUACACACAAUGAUACACAGUGACAUAUCCUCUGAAGGAUGCAACGCCCAGAAACCAAUCGGGAGUAGAGAAAAACUGGCUGUGUUUUUAAGACAUGUUGCUACCGGAGUCUUUUGCUUCCCUUGGGUUCCAGUUCCGCAUUGGGAAGACUACAGUGCAUAACAUUGUCAAGGAAACAAGUAAUGCCGUAUGGGAGGUAUUACAACCACAGUAUAUGCCAGUACCUGAUCAUCAACAGUGGAAAGAGAUAGCAAGAGCAUUUUUCGAUAAAUGCAAUGUUCCAAACUGUAUCGGAAGUGUGGAUGGCAAGCAUUGUCGCCUGAAAUGCCCACCUAAUGCAGGCUCACUUUUCCAUAAUUAUAAACAGUAUCACUCUAUUGUAUUAAUGGCUAUUGCUGAUGCCAAGUGUUGUUUUACUCUGAUUGAUGUUGGGGCAUAUGGGCGAAACAGUGACAGUGCAGUCUUUAGUAACUAAUAUGGGUAGGUCAUUUCUCUCUGGUCAUUUAGAUAUCCCACGGCCUAGUGAAAUACCUACUACUGAUAUCAAAAUACCAUUCUAUCUCAUAAGAGAUGAAGCUUUCCCUUUAAAGCCCAAUAUAAUGAGGCCAUAUCCUCGAAAGGACCUAAAUUACUCUAGAAAGGUAUUCAACUAUAGGAUGAGUAGAGCUAGGAGAACUGUAGAAUGUGUUUUCGGAAUGCUAACUCAGAAAUUUGGUGUACUGAAAACAUCAAUGGAAACAAGCACUGAGGUAUCUGAAGCAAUAGUUAAAAGUAUCUGUGUGCUUCAUAAUUUCAUUCACCAUGAAGACAGCAUGAACUUUCGUAGUGAUAAUGAUGAUGUAAUUGAUGACCACCAUCAAAACAUGAGGAGCCUGUCACCAACAAGAAGUACAAGGCCUACAGCUGAAGCUUUGUCCAUUCGCGACACUCUGAGAGAAUACUUUGUCUCACCAGGUGGAGCUGUCGAAUGGCAGGACAGAAACAUCCACUGAUGUAUAUAUUCGCUGCAGAAGAGAUGGCCACACCAGUUUUUACCAUAUCACAUCUACUCUUUAGUUAGGUUUAACGUAUUGUAUACGGAGGAUAAUAUUAAAAUAAUUAUAGGCAGCUAUGUUAUUCCUACUAUUCUGUCAUAUUACCAUUUACUUUUAGAAGAACAUUAUGUGAACAUUAGUGAACGAAAUCAGAGACAACUGUUAAUAAUAGGAACUGUAGCCUACACCCCACCCUCUACUCUGCCUGGUGCCUGGCUGGCUGGCAGUUACGUUAUAUCACAUUUGAAAAGUAGACAAUAUGCCUUACAGUUGCGAAAUAAAAGUAUCCAACCAUAUUCACAAUGCUUUGUUGUUGUUUUUAAUAGGCAAAAUAAUAUUUCCUAGUACAGCAAUCCCUUCUAUAGUUGAGUGCAGUACAUGUAAUUUCUACUGUAAUAGCAGCUAUAAUAGUUCAAUAAAAACUGUUAAACUUUGCAUUUCAUUUCUGUAGCAAUAUCAGUCCAUAAUGCAGCAAUUACAUCACGAUUACGGUGCAUAGGAUCACUAGGAACAUAAAUAGCACGUCGUUCUUGCACUAAACUGAUGAGUUCCACAUGCAUGAUACUUCCUGCUCGGCUGACUCGCCUUGACUGAUGAAAAAAUGGGACCGCGCGCAUCAGUGAUUCUGAAUCGCCAUGAAUCUCCAUGAUUUGAAUUGACUCGAUUCGCUUGGUGUAAACGAUUCCAUUGAAUUUAACGUGGCGAAUCAUGACGAAUCAUGAAUUGGGAUGAUUCUCCAUGAAUUGAAUCGAUUCGAUUCGCUCGGUGUAAACGCAGCCUUAGAGUCGGAACUAAAGGCGUCUUCAUUAGUUCUUUGCAAGCGCCUUGGAAACAGGCAUUUUCUGACGCAUUCCUUUCGCGCAGGUUCCCUGGGAGCUUCGGAACCUUACAACUAUCCCGGUCAGCAAAUAUCUUAAGGCUUCACCCCCAACUCGGACCAUCGCCAACUCGGACCAACACCAACUCGGCCCUGGUCUAUACUAACUCGGACCACGAUAACCAACUCGGACCACUAUAUGCCAGCUCGGACCACCAACUUGGACCAUGUUUAAAAGUUAAAUAAUAAUUCAGCAGCUCAAAAUUGACUUUUAUUUCACGAUAAAAUACAAUUAAAAUUAUGCUCUAAAAACAUGCAAAAGUCAGUAAAAUACAAUUAAAAUUGUAGUCUAAAAACAUGCAAAAGUCAGUUUAAAAAAUAAAACUAGAGUAUUUCAUGAAAAAUCAAGUCAUUACAUAUUCACAGCAAUAUGAUGAGAGGCAGCUUUCAGUAAGCUUUUUGCUGUUUUAGUGCCCAGAGAAAAUUCCUCCCAAAGCAUGACUAGUCGUCCAUGUUGUUUUGUAUAUUUAUUUUUUUGGUGACGCAACACCUUUCCAUCAUUUAUAAACUUUACAUGAAGCGUUACAAGUCUAACCUCUGUGUGUAGUAGGGUUAUUAAAGUAUAUAAGUUUAGUUGGCCUUUAAGUGCUUUCAUAUUAAGUCUGUAAUGCCAUCCUUCAACGUCAUUGUUAGUUCUUACACUUCGAUCAAAUACACACCAAACUUUGGGAGGCCACAUUUCUGACGUAAUCCAUGUACUGUUUAUGUACUCUAAAAGAUCUAAGAGUGGUUGUGACCCAGCUGCUUUCCUACAGAAUCUUAUAAAAAGUCCUUCUAUGUGAUCAUCAGGUACAUACGGCAGAGAAAGCAGUUGUCUUACAAAUUUGUAGGUUUUGCUAUCAUGUGUGUAAGCAGACUGGAGGCCAAGAACUUGCGCCUUCCUCCAAACUGCUUGUCCCCAGUGAAAUGCACAACCAUGCAUAACUACAUGUGGGAAAACUUCUGGGAUAGCACGCCAAAUACUUUGUUCAAAAUCAAGGAUAACUUCUUUUACUUUUAAUUGUCCAUCUAAAAUUUCUUUGAGUUUACUAAAAAUUAUCCUAUAAUCUUUACAUCUCUUACCCGACAUUAACACAAACAACAGAGGCGUUUGUUUUACGUUACCAUCGCACUUCAUAAAUGCGUGAAUACUAAAAAGCUGGGUAAAGGGUCGCCUCACUACUUUAAAAGUUCCAUCAACAUACCAGUUUCUUGCUUUAGCAAGUAACUGAAGCUGUUCUUGUGUUGCAAACAAUAGGUGGCGUCUGUCCUCUAUACUUAUAUCUGAUUUAAGAAAGUUAGGUGGAAUGUGCUCCUCACUAAUACAAAAAGUUAGGUCACUGGGCUCAGCAGGUCUGUUAGCUCGCCGCUUCCUGUUUGCUUGGCGAGCUAGAUUCACCGGUGCAGGUAGCGAAGCAGUAGGCUUUGUUGGAUCAACGUGUUCAAGAAGCACUUCCUCCACGAUUUCUAAAGCUGGGCGAAAUACAUCAUCCAUUGCUUUGUCAUUAAUUAACUUUGACACCAUGCUUGUAGUCAAAGGGCAUGCUUCCGGUGGGUGUGAAUGUUCAUUGGCUCCUCUGAUAAACACUCCGUUCACUUCCUUUACUAUCAUGUUACAGGUAACCUUUUUAUUACGCACUGCACACCGCCAAUGAACACCAACAUUUGUUUUUCUUUUAAAUGUGUAUGAAAAUCCUAGACUGUCCACAAGUUUCUGCUUGCCCCUUUGUGAAGAUGCACAUAUUUUUUUCAUACGCUAUAAUAGGUGGAUGAGCCUCAGAGCAGUCCAAAGUGUCGUUGUCCAAGGUGUCUUCGUCUAGAUAAGUUUCAGAAUUUAUAUCAUCCACUAACGCCUGGGUCGGAGUAGGUAGAUGAUCCUCACGGCCUAAACAACUCUCGGCCUAGAGUGCUCACGGCCGAAACGACCUGCUCCCCUCUGUGCGAUAGUUUAUGAUGGUUUGAAUCUAACAAAUGUAGUGAUAAUACACGUUCAUACGUGAAGCCACGUGCAGCUUGGAGAUUUUUUUUCCCACGCUCAAAUGAAGCGGUUACUGAUUCGUGAUUAAAGAGAUAAUUAGCUCGUGUAUUGCUUACAUGUAGUUUACAGUGGAAUUUUUUUUACCUAAUUUGGUUGGGGACAUUCUUGGCUUCAUUAUGGGGUAGAGCUCUUAAUUGUAGUUAAAUAUCAAAUCGUCAAUAAUUACGGCUGCGCCAGUAUUAUGACAAUUUGUUUUUUCAUCCUGAGUCGUAGGGUAAUGAAGGCAAAUGUAAGGUAAUUUCAGUAAGUGUGUAGGGCGGAGACGUCUGUAGAGGUUGGCAACACUGCCCACAGUUUAUGAUGGUCCGAGUCGGCAAACAUGGUGGUCCGACUUGGUAUUUCAGAAAAUGAGAAUGGUCCGAGUUGGUCCACAAGAUGGUCCGAGUUGCCUUUUCAUAAUGGGCCGAGAUGGAAAAGGGCCGAGUUUGCCCUACCCCAUCUUAAGUUCCUUCUGGAACUUAGGAAAUGGGCAGGCAGCAGGGCGGAGCGAAAGACAUCCACUCGUAGACAGCGAUACAAAUAUGCUAGGUGAAAAUAAGCCGAUGUGCGUAUAUUGUUUUCAUUAAAAUCUCGGACAUAUAUAAUUACCUGUAUACAAGUCAGUCAUGAGUGAAAGCCAUUAGUAAAACUGUGUAGCGUGAAUGGUUUCAAAUUAAGUGAAUAGUAACAUUUGCUUACAAUGAGCGUGGAACAGUCAAGCUUUCAAGCGGCAUGUGGCAUUCUGGCAGGGCAGGUAAAGGUGUUUGAAUGGCCUUCCUGUCUUGGGCCACGGGUUCCAACGCAUCAUUGUGUUGUGGUAUGUGCAAUGCCAUAAUGCAGUGUGAAGUUAUGGCUGAUACAAUCAAUUAACGCUAAAAUACUCUGCAGAGUGUCUUGCAUGACCUCGCUCUUGCCUCUGUGAAUGACUUGUUACCUGGACAGCUGCUACACUUGCUUCCUACAUCACAGCUUCCCCUUGCUCCGUAAUCGCUAAUAAGAUAAUUUAUUUCGUUAUAUUAUAAUACUUGCAGUCUGUCUAGACAUACUAGAAUAAUAAACAGGAAUACAUAAGAGAUGGAACGCACCGAAAAAGUGGAAAUUGUGUGAAAAUAGCAGCAAAGAGACGCUAUGACAUUUUAUUUCAUAGUUGCCGUAUGUACAGUACCAUCCCGCAUGAUUUAUUAGUCAUAUUUGACCAACAUCAGGCAUCAUUUCGACCCGGAAUGUCUUAACCAGGCUACGGCAUAUUACUAUCUAAACAGACUAGAAUAAUAAGUUUACCUAAGAGAUGGAAUGCAUCUAAACGUGAAAACUGUGAAAAUAUCAGCAAAGAGACGCUUUGACGUUUCAUUUCAUAGCUGCCUUAUGUUCAGUACCAUUCAGCCAUAUUUGGCCAACAUCAGGCAUCACUUUUGACCCGGAAUGUCUUAACCAGACUACAGUAUAUUACUAUAUGCCUGUUCUAUAAAUGUAACAGCCAUUAAACAAGGAUAACCAGUGUGUCUGCCUGUCUCUCCUUUGAUCAGAAAAAAAAAAAAAAAAAUCAGCCCUAUAUGAUUACUUUUAUUGAAUUGACAAUAUCACAGGGACUGGAAGACUAGCUGUUCACUUCUAAAUAGCAUAAACUUCAAGGAGCAAGUGGUAAGGCUUGCUGUGGUCUCUGUGAGGACCACAUCGCCAAUGAACUGUACGACUUUUUCCUUGAGCAGCACCCCAGACAACUCAGCUGGUCUGUUCUUCAGUGAUCCUAAUCUUUCUAGACAGACUGCAAGUAUAUAUAACGAAAUAUGUUCUAUUAUUAGCGAUUAUGGAACAAGGGGAAACUGUGAUGUAGAGAGCACGUCUAGCAGCUAUCCAGGUCAUAGGUCAUUCACAGAGGUGAAAGUGAGGUCCUUUACCCCGCUCCUCUGAUUCCGCCUUUUUUUUUUUUUUCUUGUAGAAAGAUUGAGAAUAUAGAAGAGUUUGGACAGAAGUAAAAGAUAGGAAAUUGAAGGAAAGUAGUAGAUUAAAGAUUGUGGGCAGAUCAUGUCGCUAUUUUUAAAAAAUGAGUAAUGUAUAUAUUCCGCCAUGUUAAGGCAACAUUCUAUCCCAAAAAUCGCUUCUUUAUUUAGACAAGUUCUACUUCAUCACCUGUGCAAAUACAAGCCACUCUGCAGAAUAUUUUAGCGUGAACUAAUUGUAUCAGUCAUGACCUCACACUGUAUUAAGGUAUUGUUGGAAGUCUGGCCCAAGACCAUUCAGACACCUUUAAUUGGCCUGCCAGAAUGCCGCAUGGCGCUGGAAGGCUCGACUUCUACGCUCAUUGUAAGCAAAUAUUUCUAUUCACUUAAUUUGAAACCAUUCACGCUACACAGUUUUAAUAAUGGUUUUCACUCAUGACUGACUUGCAUGCAUAGUUAUGUAUGUUUGAGGUUUUAUUGAAAACCCAACACAUUUGCAUCGUUGCCCGCGAGUGGCUGUCUUUUGCUGCACUCCGCUACUUUGCCCAUUUCUGCCGUCGAUUCCCGAGGGAGCUUAGGAAGCUUGCGGCCCAAGGUAGUGUCAGGUUCCAAAGCUCCCAGGAAGACGCCUUAGAUCAGUUAUGGAGAAUUCAAAGACUCAGACAAGUAAUAUUGGAUUGGGAGCAGGAAGUUAAACCACAUAAGCUCCUACACCCUUCUCAGACUAGAUGGUUGUCACUGGAAAUGGUGGUGGCAAGGUUGCUUGAGCAAUAUGAGGCACUUAAGCUAUAUUUUACCAAUGCUGUGCUAGGUGAUAGAUUGAUUGCAUCUGAAACAAUCUUAAAUAGGCUAUGCAAUCCUAUGACCAAUCUGUAUCUUCUUUUUUUGGAAUAUGUGUUGCCUCUUUUUAAUAACUUAAACAAGCAAAUGCAGGCAGAAUCAACACAAGUACAUGUCCUGUAUAACUCAGUUUCAUCUACUCUCGAAACAAUUUUAGGAUUCUACAUGGAGCCAGGGUACCUCAACAAGACUCAAUUAACAAAAAUCAAUUAUAGAGAUCCUGGAAAAUUUCUUCCAUUAGAUAAAGUUUAUCUUGGUGUAAAAGUGACACUGCAGCUGAGAAAUUCAACUUAUGAAAAGGAAGAACUACAGAAUUUUAGGUUAUCUUGUUUGGAUUUCUACAUUGAAGCUAGCUCCCAGAUAUAUAAGAGGUUUGAUUUUGACUCUGUGACUGUAAUAAAAUCCCUGAGAGCUUUGACCCCAAAGGUAGUGAUUGAUAGAGAAAUACCUUCCAUUAUUGAUCUUAUCAGUGUGUUUGGAGCUACUGCCACAGAUAUUCAGGCAAUCGACACUGAAUGGAGGCUGCUAGCAAAUUCUCUAGAUUCAAUGAAUGUUACUUCAGAUAUGAUGCCACAAAAUUUCUGGUGUACAGUAAGUUUAACAAGGCAAUGUGAUAAUGCAUUAAUGUUUCCAAAUCUUGCUGCUUUCAUGCAAACACUGUUGUCUCUACCUCAUUCUAGUGCCAGUGUAGAAAGAAUUUUUUCUGCAGUCAAUAGAAUGAAAACAAAAGCAAGAAACAAAUUGUCAACAGAAACCAUCUCAGGCUUGCUACAUACAAAACAACUUUUAAAGGGAGCAUUCUGUUAUGACUUCAAUGUAACAAAUUCACUUUUGGAAAGGAAAGCGUCUACAGGAAGUUCUAUGUAUGAGUAACUCCUAUGAUCAGAUUUAUUUUCUAUCUGCUAGCAUUAUGUCAUUAUCCCAUAUAUGCUUGAUAUAUACUGCUUGAUAUAUACUGCUUGAUAUGUCAUGUGAUCUCAUUAGCUUUAUUAUGUCCUGUGUAUGAGUGCAGUUUUUCUUUUUCACACAGUGCUUCUUUCAAUUUAUUUUCUAUCUGCUAGCAUUAUGUCAUUAUCCCAUAUAUACAUGAUAUAUACUGCUUGAUAUAUACUGCUUGAUAUGUCAUGUGAUCUCAUUAGCUUUAUUAUGUCCUGUGUAUGAGUGCAGUUUUUCUUUUUCACACAGUGCUUCUCUCAAUUUAUUUUCUAUCUGCUAGCAUUAUGUCAUUAUCCCAUAUAUGCUUGAUAUAUACUGCUUGAUAUAUACUGCUUGAUAUGUUAUGUGAUCUCAUUAGCUUUAUUAUGUCCUGUGUAUGAGUGCAGUUUUUCUUUUUCACACAGUGCUUCUCUCAAUUUAGUUUCUAUCUGCUAGCAUUAUGUCAUUAUCCAAUAUAUGCUUGAUAUAUACUGCUUGAUAUGUUAUGUGAUCUCAUUAGCUUUAUUAUGUCCUGUGUAUGAGUGCAGUUUUCUUUUUCAUACAGUGCUUCUCUCGCUACAAAUGGUUUAUGCUGGGUGUGUAAUAUGUGUAAAAUUGCAUGUAGUUGUAUUAAGACGUCGUCAAACGGGAUAUGCAACCACUAUUUUUUCACAAAUAUCGCAAGUUUUUGAGAUUUAGCUUCCAUUUCUAAAAUCUCCCGUGUGACGUCGCCUUUAUGGGCUACACUUCCUAAAUGCUUGUUUUGAGUUAAAAUUAACUAAAUACCCUUUGUUCUGUUUAUGUGGAGUUACCAUAGGGCUAAUAAAAUUUCAUUAUUAUCAA
This is a long non-coding RNA of Scylla paramamosain (green mud crab), 8862 nucleotides long. RefSeq lists it as uncharacterized. The record is from RefSeq and is a predicted model, not a curated record. The transcript has 2 exons. Lineage: Eukaryota; Metazoa; Arthropoda; Malacostraca; Decapoda; Portunidae.